RNAcentral lists this ribosomal RNA (496 nucleotides) under uncultured bacterium. RNAcentral's name for it is "partial 16S ribosomal RNA". It matches the Rfam family "Bacterial small subunit ribosomal RNA", at positions 28 to 506 of the family's 1533-position model. The record is from RNAcentral.
GAUGAACGCUGGCGGCGUGCCUAAUACAUGCAAGUCGAGCGAACAGACGAGGAGCUUGCUCCUCUGACGUUAGCGGCGGACGGGUGAGUAACACGUGGAUAACCUACCUAUAAGACUGGGAUAACUUCGGGAAACCGGAGCUAAUACCGGAUAAUAUAUUGAACCGCAUGGUUCAAUAGUGAAAGACGGUUUUGCUGUCACUUAUAGAUGGAUCCGCGCCGCAUUAGCUAGUUGGUAAGGUAACGGCUUACCAAGGCAACGAUGCGUAGCCGACCUGAGAGGGUGCACGGCCACCCUGAACCUGAGGACCGGUCCAAACUCGCAGGGGAGGCCGAGGUUGGGAACUUGCCCGAAGGGGCAAAAGCCUGCCGGGGCAACCCCCGGGGAGGUAUGGAGGUCUCCGGACUGUAAAGCUCUGUUAUUAGGGAAGAACAAAUGUGUAAGUACCUUUCACCCUCUGGCGUGUACCUAAGCAGAAAGCCCCGGCAACCUACGG